RNAcentral lists this long non-coding RNA (962 nucleotides) under Manihot esculenta (cassava). Its description in RNAcentral is "long non-coding RNA (MESC_LNC010186)". Lineage: Eukaryota; Viridiplantae; Streptophyta; Magnoliopsida; Malpighiales; Euphorbiaceae. The record is from RNAcentral.
UGCCAUGAAUAAGUGAAAUUAGGGGUUAAUUUUACUUGCUGGAAAUGUUGCUUUGAUUGUAUAAAUAUGUUAUAUGAAUGUUAAAAUGAUGUUUGAAAGGCUUGGAGUAAAGAAAUUUAACAUGGGAGCUAAAAGUGUAAAUCUGGCAGAAUAGGUUGUACCAGGGCAGCUUGUGUUUACAACGUUAUAACUUAUUGUAUAUAUAUUGAAAUUAGGCCUAAGAGAUACCAAAUGAAAGAUAAGACAAAUAUCGAAAACUUUCAUGAAUUGACCAAAUUCUGAAUCUGUAUGUAAGAUGAUGAAAAUUUCAAGUGAACCUAAACUGGACACAGAGUUAGUGCAUUCGGAACAGAGUCUAUUGAUUAUACCAUAACUAAUUACAUACUCAGUGAAAUUUGUUAAGACCAGUGCCAAAUGAAUCUUAAGAAGUAUACCUAAAACUUUGUAGAAGACAUUUAAGCUUGAAUUUGUAUGGAAAUGUAUGAAUCUGAUAAGUUUUGUGAUACUAUUAACAAGUACCAAUACUGAACUGAUUAAGACCUUAUUGAGCAGCUUGUAAAGAAAAAUUCAUAACUUAAGCUAGGAUGAUCAGAUUUGCAUGAACCAUACCUUGUUGGAAAGAUAAGACAUAAAUAUACAUUUCUUAUGAAGAAACUGAAGUCAAAUUGUAACUCUAAACUGCUUGAAAAGUUUAUGCAAUAUAUGGCAGAAUGUAGUUUUCUAUAUUGAAAUGUUAAGUCAAUAAAGGUUUGCACUAUUUGCCAUGAGUUUUCCAUAUUGUAAACCUUGGCAUAUGAUAUAUGUACUUUGGAAAAAGAAAUCAAAUAGCUUCAAAUUACAUGCAUUUACAUUGAUACAUUGAGUUAAUGAUACUUGGCCCUGGUAAACGUAAUAGGAGUCGAGGUUAGCUUAAGGGUAUGGCAUGCCAUAUAAAUAUACAGAGUUCGCAGUACUGCUACCGA